Molecule: ribosomal RNA, 460 nt
Filed under: uncultured bacterium
Lineage: Bacteria
Description: partial 16S ribosomal RNA
Rfam family: Bacterial small subunit ribosomal RNA
Source: RNAcentral
CCUACGGGAGGCAGCAGUGAGGAAUAUUGGUCAAUGGACGAGAGCCUGAACCAGCCAAGUAGCGUGAAGGAUGACUGCCCUACGGGUUGUAAACUUCUUUUAUAUGGGAAUAAAAUGUUCCACGUGUGGGAUUUUGUAUGUACCAUAUGAAUAAGGAUCGGCUAACUCCGUGCCAGCAGCCGCGGUAAUACGGAGGAUCCGAGCGUUAUCCGGAUUUAUUGGGUUUAAAGGGAGCGUAGGUGGUUUGUUAAGUCAGUUGUGAAAGUUUGCGGCUCAACCGGAAAAUUGCAGUUGAAACUGGCAGUCUUGAGUACAGUAGAGGUAGGCGGAAUUCGUGGUGUAGCGGUGAAAUGCUUAGAUAUCACGAAGAACUCCGAUUGCGAAGGCAGCUCACUGGACUGCAACUGACGCUGAGGCUCGAAAGUGUGGGUAUCAAACAGGAUUAGAUACCCCGGUAGUC